This 497-nucleotide ribosomal RNA is filed under the name uncultured bacterium. RNAcentral describes it as "partial 16S ribosomal RNA". It matches the Rfam family "Bacterial small subunit ribosomal RNA", at positions 28 to 507 of the family's 1533-position model. The record is from RNAcentral.
GAUGAACGCUGGCGGCGUGCCUAAUACAUGCAAGUCGAGCGAACAGACGAGGAGCUUGCUCCUCUGACGUUAGCGGCGGACGGGUGAGUAACACGUGGAUAACCUACCUAUAAGACGGGGAUAACUUCGGGAAACCGGAGCUAAUACCGGAUAAUAUAUUGAACCGCGGGGUUCAAUAGUGAAAUACGGUUUUGCGGUCACUUAUAGAUGGAUCCGCGCCGCAUUAGCUAGUUGGUAAGGUAACGGCUUACCAAGGCGACGAUGCGUAGCCGACCUGAGAGGGUGAUCGGCCACACUAGAGCUGAGACACGGUCCAGACUCCUACGGGAGGCAGCAGUAGGGAAUCUUCCGCAAUGGGCGAGAGCCUGACGGAGCAACGCCGCGUGAGUGGUGAAGGUCUUCGGAUCGUAAAACUCUGUUAUUAGGGAAGAACAACUGUGUAAGUAACUAUGCACGUCUUGACGGUACCUAAUCAGAAAGCCCCGGCUAACUACGUG